Molecule: ribosomal RNA, 465 nt
Filed under: uncultured Veillonella sp.
Lineage: Bacteria; Bacillati; Bacillota; Negativicutes; Veillonellales; Veillonellaceae
Description: bacterial SSU rRNA
Rfam family: Bacterial small subunit ribosomal RNA
Source: RNAcentral
CCUACGGGGGGCUGCAGUGGGGAAUCUUCCGCAAUGGACGAAAGUCUGACGGAGCAACGCCGCGUGAGUGAUGACGGCCUUCGGGUUGUAAAGCUCUGUUAAUCGGGACGAAAGGCCUUCUUGUGAAUAGUGAGAAGGAUUGACGGUACCGGAAUAGAAAGCCACGGCUAACUACGUGCCAGCAGCCGCGGUAAUACGUAGGUGGCAAGCGUUGUCCGGAAUUAUUGGGCGUAAAGCGCGCGCAGGCGGAUAGGUCAGUCUGUCUUAAAAGUUCGGGGCUUAACCCCGUGAUGGGAUGGAAACUGCCAAUCUAGAGUAUCGGAGAGGAAAGUGGAAUUCCUAGUGUAGCGGUGAAAUGCGUAGAUAUUAGGAAGAACACCAGUGGCGAAGGCGACUUUCUGGACGAAAACUGACGCUGAGGCGCGAAAGCCAGGGGAGCGAACGGGAUUAGAUACCCCAGUAGUC